This 468-nucleotide ribosomal RNA is filed under the name uncultured bacterium. RNAcentral describes it as "partial 16S ribosomal RNA". It matches the Rfam family "Bacterial small subunit ribosomal RNA", at positions 28 to 507 of the family's 1533-position model. The record is from RNAcentral.
GACGAACGCUGGCGGCGUGCUUAACACAUGCAAGUCGAACGGACAGGCCCUGCUUUUGUGGGUUGCUCGAGUGGCGAACGGGUGAGUAACACGUGAGUAACCUGCCCUUGACUUUGGGAUAACUUCAGGAAACUCGGGCUCAUACCGGAUAGGAUCUCCUGCUGCAUGUUGGGGGUUGGAAAGUUUCGGCGGUUGGGGCUGUACUCGCUGCUUAUCAGCUUGUUUGUGGGGUAGUGGCUUACCAAGGCUUUGACGGGUAGCCGGCCUGAGAGGGUGACCGGCGACAUUGGGACUGAGAGACGGAGCAGACUCCUACGGGAGGCAGUAGUGGGGAGUAUGGCAGAAUGGGCGGAAGCCUGAUGCAGCAACGCCGGGAGCGGGAUGACGGGCUUCGGGGUGUAAACCGCUGUCGCCGGUGACGAAGAGUGAGUGACGGUAAUGGGUAAAGAAGCACCGGCUAACUACGUG